CGUCCUCCGUCUCGUCGCAGCGGCGCGCGCUCCGUUCCUCGUCUUUGCCAUUGCUAUUCGAUCGAUUCGCACCCCCUAUUUUUAUUUCUUUAUAGUUGUGUGGGAGGUUUUGCUGUUGGUUCUUUCUCCGUGAAGAGAGUCCAAGCAGACGGGCGGUCUGAAUCUGAUGCCGUGUUGAUUCGUCUGCAACUUUCAUGCCUUCCUUUGGGGUGGCAUCCGAGAGAAAGCGGCAAAACUAUCUCGCCCCAUCUGCUUGUUAAUGUUUUCCUUCGAUUUUCAUACUUGUGUUUUCCUCAAAGAAUUGGUGCUGUGAUGAAGAUGCUUAAUUAUUUCUAUGUCUGGACAUCUGAGUUCAAUAUCUGUGAUUGGUUUAUGCAUCAAUCUGAGCCCUGAACAAUUCGACCUUUUUUUCUCGUGCUUCAAUUUAUUGUUGCGCCUAGCUUAACUGCUUCUUGGGAAGGGUUCAGUCGUUGAUUGAACCCGAGGAAUCUGAGAAAACAAAGCUGGUGCGGAGAGUGAGAUGGUUAACUUACCAACCCUUUGCAUCUUUCGCAUUGCUCUGGAGUCAAAUGGUUUAAUCAAAAUUUCUUCUUGAGUCUAUAUCCGAU
Molecule: long non-coding RNA, 608 nt
Filed under: Panicum hallii
Lineage: Eukaryota; Viridiplantae; Streptophyta; Magnoliopsida; Poales; Poaceae
Description: long non-coding RNA (PHAL_LNC000951)
Source: RNAcentral